RNAcentral lists this ribosomal RNA (382 nucleotides) under uncultured eukaryote. RNAcentral's name for it is "partial 18S ribosomal RNA". It matches the Rfam family "Eukaryotic small subunit ribosomal RNA", at positions 592 to 976 of the family's 1831-position model. The record is from RNAcentral.
UGUAAGCGUAUACCAAAGUUGUUGCAGUUAAAACGCUCGUAGUCGGAAUUUGGCAGUUCCGGAUGUGUGCACGUCGUGUGCGCACUUCGCGGGGAUUGCUUUUGUGGUCUUGCGUAGGAUGAGGCACUUUUAUUAGUGAACGUCCUCACGCAACCACUUUUUACUGUGAGAAAAUCAGAGUGCUCAAAGCAGGCAUUUGCCGUGAAUGUAUUAGCAUGGAAUAAUAGAAUAGGACUUGGUUCUAUUUUGUUGGUGUGUUGGGACUGAGUAAUGAUUAAGAGGGACAGUUGGGGGCAUUUGUAUUUCGGUGCUAGAGGUGAAAUUCUUAGAUUACCGAAAGACAAACUGCUGCGAAAGCGUCUGCCAAGGAUGUUUUCAUUGA